UGCAAGUCGAGCGGAUGAAGGGAGCUUGCUCUCUGAUUCAGCGGCGGACGGGUGAGUAAUGCCUAGGAAUCUGCCUAUUAGUGGGGGACAACGUUUCGAAAGGAACGCUAAUACCGCAUACGUCCUACGGGAGAAAGCAGGGGACCUUCGGGCCUUGCGCUAAUAGAUGAGCCUAGGUCGGAUUAGCUAGUUGGUGAGGUAAAGGCUCACCAAGGCGACGAUCCGUAACUGGUCUGAGAGGAUGAUCAGUCACACUGGAACUGAGACACGGUCCAGACUCCUACGGGAGGCAGCAGUGGGGAAUAUUGGACAAUGGGCGAAAGCCUGAUCCAGCCAUGCCGCGUGUGUGAAGAAGGUCUUCGGAUUGUAAAGCACUUUAAGUUGGGAGGAAGGGCAGUAAGUUAAUACCUUACUGUUUUGACGUUACCGACAGAAUAAGCACCGGCUAACUUCGUGCCAG
Molecule: ribosomal RNA, 460 nt
Filed under: uncultured bacterium
Lineage: Bacteria
Description: bacterial SSU rRNA
Rfam family: Bacterial small subunit ribosomal RNA
Source: RNAcentral